Molecule: non-coding RNA, 26 nt
Filed under: Arabidopsis thaliana (thale cress)
Lineage: Eukaryota; Viridiplantae; Streptophyta; Magnoliopsida; Brassicales; Brassicaceae
Also listed under: 1 other name
Source: RNAcentral
CAAGCGCGGGUAAACGGCGGGAGUAA